Molecule: long non-coding RNA, 802 nt
Organism: Marmota flaviventris (yellow-bellied marmot)
Lineage: Eukaryota; Metazoa; Chordata; Mammalia; Rodentia; Sciuridae
Source: RefSeq, a predicted model, not a curated record
UGCAGGUAAAGAGCCUAUGCGUCUCUGACACACGAUAAAUGCUGAGUGCAGGUUGGUAAGGGGCCUUGGUGCCAUCAUGACAGGUCAGGUAGGCUCUGACCUUCUGGAGGCCAGUGGCUUUGUGUUGUUCAUCUUUCAUUUCCAACAGCUAGCACAGUUUUGCACACAUAUUUUUGAGUGAAUGAAUUGAUAAACAAUUGGACAAAUUUCAAGUCCAAAACACAUCUGAACUUUAAAUUUCUUCCACUUUGGUAUCCUUGCCUAGUGGUCACUUUGUUUUUCCUAAACUUCCAGGAACAGGGCACUUACUGUCUACAAAUGGAUGCUGUGCUAACCACCAUGGGCAAUUUGGAUCAAGUGGAGGCCCUGAUGCUCAUCUUUUCUAGAAUGGAAUCUCCCAGUAUCAUCCUUCUGAAAAGGUUUCCAACCUGCAAUCACUCUAGAUGUUCUCUGAGUCAUUUCUAAGUGCAGUCUGAUGCGUGCCAAGAAAAGGAAGACCAGGACUGCAGCAAGAGACCGAACAGCAUGAGGCCUAGCCUCCUCCCAUGACCCCAGAUCCCCAGACACACUCAUAACAGCACUGGAAACAAGAUGUGUCCCUAGCAGACCAGAAAUUAUGAGAUCUCUAAAGAUGGAUGAUAGAAUUAGAUUAAGGAAAUCAGGAAAUCACAACCGGUAAUGCACACAGUAAAACCUAAACAAAACAAUAUACCCUCCGUUCCCCCAACCCCACCCCACUACUGAAUCCUAUAAGCUAAUCUUAAAUAUUGGUACAAAAUUUUGAAUAAAAUAUUAUAAUUAA